RNAcentral lists this ribosomal RNA (469 nucleotides) under Brevundimonas sp. RNAcentral's name for it is "bacterial SSU rRNA". It matches the Rfam family "Bacterial small subunit ribosomal RNA", at positions 388 to 875 of the family's 1533-position model. The record is from RNAcentral. Lineage: Bacteria; Pseudomonadati; Pseudomonadota; Alphaproteobacteria; Caulobacterales; Caulobacteraceae.
GCAGCCAUGCCGCGUGAAUGAUGAAGGUCUUAGGAUUGUAAAAUUCUUUCACCGGGGACGAUAAUGACGGUACCCGGAGAAGAAGCCCCGGCUAACUUCGUGCCAGCAGCCGCGGUAAUACGAAGGGGGCUAGCGUUGCUCGGAAUUACUGGGCGUAAAGGGAGCGUAGGCGGACAUUUAAGUCAGGGGUGAAAUCCCGGGGCUCAACCUCGGAAUUGCCUUUGAUACUGGGUGUCUUGAGUAUGAGAGAGGUGUGUGGAACUCCGAGUGUAGAGGUGAAAUUCGUAGAUAUUCGGAAGAACACCAGUGGCGAAGGCGACACACUGGCUCAUUACUGACGCUGAGGCUCGAAAGCGUGGGGAGCAAACAGGAUUAGAUACCCUGGUAGUCCACGCCGUAAACGAUGAUUGCUAGUUGUCGGGAUGCAUGCAUUUCGGUGACGCAGCUAACGCAUUAAGCAAUCCGCCUG